RNAcentral lists this non-coding RNA (24 nucleotides) under Arabidopsis thaliana (thale cress). Lineage: Eukaryota; Viridiplantae; Streptophyta; Magnoliopsida; Brassicales; Brassicaceae. The record is from RNAcentral.
CAGACAAAAUGGCUGGCAGGUGGA